AAUAACAAGAAGGCAUGUGUGGGGCAUAAUAGAGAAUGCAAAGAAAGGGUUGCUAUUGAGUGUGAUAUUGGGACAAUGACAUACCAUUUUUUUGCAUUGUCUAUUAUGUCCCACACAUGCCUCCUUGUUAUU
Molecule: non-coding RNA, 132 nt
Organism: Vitis vinifera (wine grape)
Lineage: Eukaryota; Viridiplantae; Streptophyta; Magnoliopsida; Vitales; Vitaceae
Source: RefSeq, marked provisional